Molecule: long non-coding RNA, 545 nt
Filed under: Ananas comosus (pineapple)
Lineage: Eukaryota; Viridiplantae; Streptophyta; Magnoliopsida; Poales; Bromeliaceae
Description: long non-coding RNA (ACOM_LNC024662)
Source: RNAcentral
CUGUUGUGCUCUCAGGAGCACGGAAGCCUUCGUGCUCCUGAGCCGUUUUCAAUGAUGAAAUUUUCGAAUCGACGAUCGGCUUCGUUAGACUUGAUCUAGCGUAUUUGAAGUUUCUAGAAAAUAAUUUUUGCGAUUUUUUGAUAUCAUUUACCUAGUGAUCGAAAGUGUUCAAAAUCAAUAAUUUUUAAUGGUUGAUAUCUGUCGUUUUCAAGUUUAACGGUGUAGAAAUAUUCAAAUCAGAUAAAAUUUUGAUACAAAAUUCUUUAUACUAUUUAUAACAAUAUCAAUAUUUCUGAUAGAAAAUUUUAGUGCUAUAUUACCACUUUUAUAGGAUUUUUAUUUUCAGCCGUUAAAAAUUAUUGAUUUUGAAUCCCUUUGAUUGCUAGGUAAAUGAUAUCAAAAAAUCGCAAAAAUUAUUUUCUAGAAACUUCAAAUACGCUAGAUCAAGUCUAACGGAGCCGAUCGUCGAUUCGAAAAUUUCAUUAUCGAAAACGGCUCAGGAGCACGGAGGCCUCCGUGCUCCUGAGAGCACAGCAGUCUCUCUC